Molecule: ribosomal RNA, 851 nt
Filed under: Lacticaseibacillus casei
Lineage: Bacteria; Bacillati; Bacillota; Bacilli; Lactobacillales; Lactobacillaceae
Description: bacterial SSU rRNA
Rfam family: Bacterial small subunit ribosomal RNA
Source: RNAcentral
CGAACGAGUUCUCGUUGAUGAUCGGUGCUUGCACCGAGAUUCAACAUGGAACGAGUGGCGGACGGGUGAGUAACACGUGGGUAACCUGCCCUUAAGUGGGGGAUAACAUUUGGAAACAGAUGCUAAUACCGCAUAGAUCCAAGAACCGCAUGGUUCUUGGCUGAAAGAUGGCGUAAGCUAUCGCUUUUGGAUGGACCCGCGGCGUAUUAGCUAGUUGGUGAGGUAAUGGCUCACCAAGGCGAUGAUACGUAGCCGAACUGAGAGGUUGAUCGGCCACAUUGGGACUGAGACACGGCCCAAACUCCUACGGGAGGCAGCAGUAGGGAAUCUUCCACAAUGGACGCAAGUCUGAUGGAGCAACGCCGCGUGAGUGAAGAAGGCUUUCGGGUCGUAAAACUCUGUUGUUGGAGAAGAAUGGUCGGCAGAGUAACUGUUGCCGGCGUGACGGUAUCCAACCAGAAAGCCACGGCUAACUACGUGCCAGCAGCCGCGGUAAUACGUAGGUGGCAAGCGUUAUCCGGAUUUAUUGGGCGUAAAGCGAGCGCAGGCGGUUUUUUAAGUCUGAUGUGAAAGCCCUCGGCUUAACCGAGGAAGCGCAUCGGAAACUGGGAAACUUGAGUGCAGAAGAGGACAGUGGAACUCCAUGUGUAGCGGUGAAAUGCGUAGAUAUAUGGAAGAACACCAGUGGCGAAGGCGGCUGUCUGGUCUGUAACUGACGCUGAGGCUCGAAAGCAUGGGUAGCGAACAGGAUUAGAUACCCUGGUAGUCCAUGCCGUAAACGAUGAAUGCUAGGUGUUGGAGGGUUUCCGCCCUUCAGUGCCGCAGCUAACGCAUUAGAGCUAUGCCCCCGG